This is a long non-coding RNA of Mastomys coucha (southern multimammate mouse), 626 nucleotides long. RefSeq lists it as uncharacterized. NCBI's taxonomy places the organism in Eukaryota, Metazoa, Chordata, Mammalia, Rodentia, Muridae. The transcript has 4 exons. The record is from RefSeq and is a predicted model, not a curated record.
GCCACGGUGAGGAUUUUCAUCUUCCCCAGUGAUGAGGGCACUGGGAAGCCACGGUCUACAUCAAUUCCUGUGACACCACCUUAAUGCCAUUUAAACUGGUGAUAAACAGCACUAUUACCCACUGCCAUUUAGCUAUGAUGCUGGAAUCCAUGGACAGGCCUGCCCUGGAGAGCGAGCGAGCUGAGUAAUGCCCUCAGAAUACCUCGGCUUUGGUGUUACCUGACUGACUCUUGUCAUCUCUGCCUGUGAAACUGGCACAAGAUCGUGGGGUCCCCUCACUUCACCUCUCAAGUAACUGAGGGCUCUGGGAUGUUGCAAGGACAGAAAAACAGCCCCUACCCGUAAUCUUCUCAGGUCUUAGGACACGUGACACAGCAGACAGGCCGUAGGCGGGACCUCGGUUAAAAUGUGCAGAAGACAUGCUGGCCAGGGGCUCUGGCAGAGUGGAGGCCUGUGGUAAAGCCUCGGUGACAAGCCCUUACCCAGCAUGUGAAAAUCUUCAAGAACAGCUAACUGUCCACCAUCACAAGAGAACCAUGCAGGCUGAAGAUGCUUCCGGAUGCUGAACAAACCGAGAACAGAGGAGCUGAUGAGGUGGACUAGCAGGUGAAGAAACUUGCCACCAA